Molecule: long non-coding RNA, 3655 nt
Organism: Parus major (Great Tit)
Lineage: Eukaryota; Metazoa; Chordata; Aves; Passeriformes; Paridae
Exons: 3
Source: RefSeq, a predicted model, not a curated record
GAGGAGGGAGCACGCCGGGGUGGGAUCCAUGAUGCCAUCCCUGGCGCAGCAGCGUUUUAUUCCCCCCGCUGCCGGGAGACACCGCACCUCCGACAGCCGGAGCUGUCCGCGUCCCGUCCGUGCCCAACAGCCGCAUCCCUUAGUGCCAUCAUCCUUUUCCCUUUAAAACUCCUGGAAUGCGACAUUCAAGGCGAGCCAAAUGACAGCCUUAAAAGAUUAGUCAGACAAGAAGACAUUUGCAGGAUAUAUCCCCUAUGUCGUCUAAUGGGCAAUGGAAAAAAUUGUCACAAACCACUUGUCUCAGAGCAUUUAAAAAUUAAGUGACUUAUCUUAUUGAUCUCUUCCUUUCCCUCUGAACAGUAUAACCGAUUACAGAUGCUUAUUUUCUGCAACAAGCAGUCAGGUAGGAUGCACCUAAAUCCGACUUUUGUUCUUAUUGACAUCCUCCAUGGGAGGAGAGGGAUUUCAGCUCCUACAAUGCUGCUGUUGAAUAUUGUAUCAGUUUCAUGUUGUUACCACAUGCUCCCUCAUAAUGAUGUUCGGCAGGUUUUAAUAUACCUAUGAUGUAUACUAAUAGAGUAAUUGUUUUUAUUCUAACUGAUUCACAAGUAUUUAGGCACUUAUUACCUAUUAUUAUCUACCUAGGAGAUGUUUCUCUUCAUCACUGCAAUUCAUUAGAUUAUUUAUCACAGUGCUUUUAGGACAAACUGGGGGCCCUGGGGAGGAUUACCAGCCUGCACAGCAGUAUUGCUUAUCCCACUCCUCCUGCACAGGCAGCUGUCCUGCUCUAUGUGCAGUUAACAUGCAGACUGUAAAAGGAGAACUGCAGUGCUUGAAUUUGUGCUAUUUUCUCCUUUGCCACAUCUCACAGGACAAUCACAGAGUAAUUAUUGGUUUUGAGGCAAAGCACUUUUCAGUUUCAAAGCAGCAAGGAACUACUUCAGAGAAACCUGUGUAGAACAAGACUAGCAAGAUCCACCUUUCAGAAACACAUCCAUCUCCACCUUGUUGAAGCCUCCCCUGCCUUUUUAGCCUGACUCGAGAGGAAGGCUGCAUCAGCCUGCUUUAGAGCCACAGCUUUCCUAUAGCUGUUCAAAUUACUUUUCUCACCUUCCUUCCUCUGACUUUUCCUUACACAAGGCUCUGUCAUCACAGACUGUCAUCAAAGAACAAGAAGUUUACAGAUCACAGGACCAAGUACUGAGUGGGGCAACAUACCAACAUUCAAACCAAAACAAAUUUUACAAAAAGACUUCAAGGUAGUUGAGGAACUACUCACAGCUGAAAGGAGGAACAGUUAAUGACAAGGAUGGAGGCACAAGCCAGGACAGCCACACCAGAAAAAAUUCUCAUAUAAAACCUUUAACCUGUUUGAAGGCACAGUAAACAACUGGGAUGCAGACAGAUCUGUACAAGAGUAUCGUCCAUGGACUGGAGCAAAACCAUCCAAGCCUAUAAAGUCAAAACAAGGCUUCAUUAUCCCAGAAGACCAUUUUGUUCAAGAGACAAGCUACAAGGCAGACUUUAAGAUCCCAGAGGUGAAGACCAGAUUCUCCCCCAACCCUUCUGCUGUUUUCCAGGCGCCAUCGCGGAUCCUCAACGUAUGAACCUGGACCCUCCUCACACCCAGACAGCUUAAAUGCAGAGUUUCUGUUAAGAUGUAUCACUAUGCAACUUUCAUGAGGAGUGUUAAGAUCAAAGAACUGGUGUUAUCAAAAGCAGCUCCAGUGAUUAAUGAUAUGCACACACACUUUCUGUUAACACAACAAACCGCAAAGCGCUUGGUUCAGAACUGGCAAAACACGCUGCGAGGAGUGACCUAGUUUUUCACAGGAGCAGGUUCAUUACUAUGCCAGCUGGCGUCACAUUAGGAGAUUGACUUUGGGCAGCAAAGGCAGGAUUGCAGGCAACAUCCCUACUCAGAAAUACACAGGGUAGGAGGGAAAACAAUUGCAAGCGGGAUGGAUAAUUAAAACCCAAACCAGUUUUAUUUAGCAACACCCUCUAAGUAGGCUGCUGAAAGACAGGGAGUAGUUUGGCUGACUUCUGACAUUCUUGAGGGGUUUUGGGAGUAGGACCUCAAAUGGCAUCACCAGAAAGUAGAGCUUUGAAGGGGCUGGUCUGAACUUCCAGAGUUGUUUUAGAAGCUGGAGGAAGCCAAUGUCAUUGAACUCUAAAAUAAAUCUGGCACAUGCAGUGUCUUGGGCCUUUAAGGCUGGGAAGCUGGAUAUUACCAAAAUUGGAGAGCAGAUGCAGGAGCAAGAGAGGACCACUCCAGGAGACAGCCCUGACAGCAGUGCACCAAACUGGUUUGGAGAAGAGUGCAUGGAUACAGCCAGGCACCCACCAGACUCCUCCAGAGGAUCUAGGAUACUUACAUAAUUUGUAGAGUUGUUAGGGUGACUGUAAAUAUUGUACAUGGAUUUUACCUAAAGCAAUUUGUGAUCCUUUAAUGAAAAGGAUAUGCUUAUACUUUUAAUAAAUGUUAACUCUUUGCAUAUGCAAGGUGGAAAAUAUUGCCUUGAAAUUCCUAAAUUAUCGCCUGUAUAUUGGUAAUGCUAAUGCUAGGAACAACCACAAGCGAAUGUUACUUAGAAAUUCUUCUUAAAGAAAAAUGUAAUGUAGAAUGUAAGCCAUCUGUCAUUUUUAAGAUAGGCCGUUUCAAAUGUCAUUGUUCUGAAGCUGAUUUUUUUAGACUGCUGCAUAUUUAACUUUUGCUGAGGUACAUGUGUUUUAAGAAACCAUUUUUUUAGCCUUUGUUCAUUGAGACUUUACAAUUUCUAUUUCGAUAACUUAUGCAAUAUAAUUAGUCUACUGCUUAUUUAAUGGAUUUACUAAUUAUUUUGGAAAAAAAAAUUGAAAAACUCUUACUUUGUGUUUGCAACACAUGUGUUGUCCAGAACAAAGGGAAACUAUCCUCAGACUUUAACAGUGAUCAGAUAUUCAUUCAUCUGUAAUGAAACAGACUUUCAACACAGGAGGACUUUUUCUUGAACUUCUUACUAGCUGAAGUUUAAAGCAAAUUUAAUGAACUUCAGGGAUUCUGCAGAAAACAUAUGCAUUGCUGAUAAUUCGCAUAAGAACAAUUUUUCAGCUGUUGGGCGUGUGAAUUGUACUUGCAAUACAUGCAGACAGCAUCUUCUCACUGCAUUAUGUGAGAAUUUAAUGGUGUUCACUGUAGUGGGACUGAGCACAACCACCAGAACAGGGAACACCUGCAGUAACCUGCAUUUGGCUGGGACAAGGGAUGGCUCUUCCCACACUCAUCCUUGGAGAAACCUGCAGUAAUCCCAGUGCUUGCCAAAAUAAUUUUUCAGGAAAUUCAUUUUUCAGGAAAUUCAUUGAAGCAUUCAAACUGUGCUAAAAGUUUUGCAUGUUAGAUGUUUCUAAGAAUUCAAUCUGCUUGUUUGAUCUCUUUAUAACGUUUUUAGCAGUUUUGUUCAAACAAUUUAAGUUCAUUUCAAUCCUGGACUUUAUUAACAGCAAGGGGAAAAAAAGUAAAAAGGAAAUUGUCUAUUAUCUCUUCUUAAUUGACUGUAUUUCUUAAAAAUAUGACCCAGGUUUAAACAAAUUGGUAAUAUAAUAAGCUUGUAUUUUAUCAAAUGGACUGGAAUUUAAUAAAUUAAAAUGUAUUUUGGCUAUUGGUUCUCUCCCA